Molecule: long non-coding RNA, 14729 nt
Organism: Chelonia mydas (Green sea turtle)
Lineage: Eukaryota; Metazoa; Chordata; Testudines; Cheloniidae
Exons: 6
Source: RefSeq, a predicted model, not a curated record
GGGUGUCAGCUCGCUGCAGCCUGUGGAUUGCACCCCCCCCCCCCGGUGCUGCUGCAACCCCGCGCCCCACGGCUAGGAGCGGUGGCGUCUCUGCAGCCAGCUGCGGCUGGGGGGGACCCGCGGCCGCUCCUCCCUCCUCCGAGCAUCCCCCGCGGCUCCGGCAGAGCCUCCGUCUCCCCCCCGGGCCGCGCAAGGAGCCCCCCCGGGGGCUGCCUCCCCUCCCCCUGCGGAGCCGUGGCCCGGCGGCUCCCGGCGCAGGGGAAAGUUUCUCGGCGCGCGGCGGCGGCGGCGGCUCCCGGGAGCCCGAGCUCCCCCCCCCGCCCCAGCCCCCGGGAAGGGCCCGCGCUGCAGCGCCCCCUGCAGCCGCCCGGCCCGAGCUGCCGCAGCCUCGCCGGGUCCGGCUGGGGUGGGGCGGGGGGCGCGCCCCCCCGGUAGCAUUUCUCCUCCAGCCCGGCCAGAGAGGGAGCCCGCGGCUGGGAUGCAGCCUCGCAGGGCUUUCAAGAGGCCACCAAACAGACUUUCAUGUCAAGUGAUAACGUGGAGACCUCCUGGGGAGAGGAAACAAGAGGGUAACCUAGAGAAACAUUACACAGAACUGUUGAGAAAGACGCCACCUCCAUCAACCUGAUACUCAGAAGCUGACACAGACCAGCACAAGGCUGAAAUAAAGGGCGGAAAUUGGUGGACACCUGAUGGCCUGAGAGUGCAGGAGGAGAGCGAGAGAAAGAAGAGCUCUGAUCGCCGCCCCUAUCCCUUUCUAUUCCUGACCAGCUGUGGAGCUGAUUGACGAAUAUAACCUUUCGCUGAGCAGCAACGUGGCCAUACGCCCCAGCGAACAUUCUGACUGGCGCCCACAGAGAAACGCCGCUGUGCAUUGUGCCGGGGCUUCGCGUCUGACUGUUACCAAAUGCUACAGGCCGGCGUGGCUGAAAAGGAAGGUUCAGAAGACCCGAAACAAGCAAACAAGGUGCCUUUAGCACUGGGCAUGUGCCCUCAAAGCCCACAUCAACCGUGGCGUGGAUGCAAACGGCUUUCUAAGUCCCUAAAGGGAGAUUAAAUUGUGCUGUGAAAUGCCCAGGUGAUUCAUCGCUCGUCACGGCGUGCUUGGCUCUCGUGGCAAUUUCCAGUCGUUUCCAUGGCAGAAGCCAUCGCUGGAGGAGGGAGAGAGCCAAUCAGGAGCCGCAAACAGCUGUCAAAUGGCCAGAAGGGCUAGCCGGGCGGCUGGCUCUCCUCGUUCAGGGAACGUAGGGCUCCAACAUUUGACUAGCUGCUCGGAUCAAAAAGGGGGGAUACUCUUUUGCAGCAUCAGAGGUAUCCGAAAGAGUGAGGAAGAAUUGCCUGGCUUUGGCUCUCACAGCACCCAGCCCUUCCCUGCCGGCACUCAGCAGCGCUGCACAGCUUCCCAAGGACCACAGCUUCCCAAGGACCAGGCCCUGCUCAGGGGAGCAGCCCGCCCCUCUAGGCCCCAUGGAGGGUGUCGCACGGGGAGCCACCGGGCUUUCCCUGGAAGCAGCGUCUGGCUCGGCAGCUCAUUUCCUAAACACGCUCCUGCAGAAACAGCCCUGGGGAGCCACCUGCUACAUUUCACCAACCCAUCACAGACCAACCUGCCCAAGCUCCUCUCGCAUUGUUGCUCGCUGCUCCAUUGAGACAGCUACAGCUCCCUGAAACUUUCCUUUGCUGACCCACCCAUGGCCUCUCUGGCACGGCACCUCAAUGCUGCACUGGGCCCCUGCAUCCUUCUCUCCAGCCACCCAAGCAAUCCCUGACCUCAGUUCAAAUGCUGGACCAAGGUUUCUCUGGCCCUGAAUCCCCACAGUCCCCUUCCUAUCCCUGAGUCUCUCCAGGCUCCACACAGAUUCCUCCCUGACCCCACCUUUGCCUCUGUCCUGCCCAGCUGUGGGAGCCGUACCUGAGUUAUGUAAUUGACCCGCUGACACCCGUGACCCCUAGUGAAUGGCUCAAAGUGGUGGGUAUUUUUCCCAGCAUAUACACCAGUAAUUGCAGGCAGUGUGUACAAAACACUCUGCUCUGAGCCCAGAGAUGCUACUUUGGCAAGAAAGAAAACAAUGAUAAUCAUAAUUCUACAGCUGGGUUUCUUGAAACCACAUUUUAAAGGGCUGGAAAUGUACCCUCCAGCAGAGCCUGUGUGACAUGCACCAGGUAUCUGCUCCCCCACCCAACCCUCAAGAUGGCUGCAAGAGAGAAUCUGGGGACAAGGCCUGCCUGCUGGUUCCCAUGCAGUGUCACCGACUGUCCCUGGCGGGUGCAAGGCCUGCCUGCUUGGGAGACCCUGAGAGCAGCUGGUGCAUGGACUCGUAGCGUUCCUGGGAGACGACAAAGCAGGCGAGUGGGUAAGAGACUCAGGGUAUAUACCGGACUAGGUGCUGUGUGCUGAGAAAAUGCACUGUGCAUCAUACAUCCCCUAGACGCUCCAGGGACGUGCACUUUAGAGGUGCGUUGUGUUAUCGCAGACAUCAGCUGAGACCUGAUGAAGAGCUCCGGGUGGCUCGAAAGCUUGUGUCCAGUAAAAGCUAUCACCUCCCCCACCCUGUCUCGCCAACUGACCAGAGUAGGUGGGAGUGGAUAAAUGCAACACUCCCAAGGCAGCACCUGGGACUGGGCUAAGGAGGAAAUACCAGGGGGCUAGUGAUCUGUCCCCUUUCCCAGACCUGGCUCUGUGCCACAGCGGAGAAGAAUGAGCCCCACCACCUGGGCUUGCAUCUCCCACUCAGAAACCGGACAUCAGCGGAAGCUGGGGACACUCCAGCACCUCUCAGGAUCAGGCCUCAUGCCAUGGGGAGAGCGCUCACAUGGCCUGGUGAUUCUGAAGCACAGUAAGUGGACAGCAGAUGUUUGGUGAGGGGCUGAGGCCCCAGGUGGCCUUUGCUACCAGUGAGCAGGGCCAUUGCUUCUGUCAAUUAAUCUGCCUUUCCAGCUGGAUUCAGCAAGGAGCCAGCAAUCCCUCUCCCGCCUCCCCCCGCCCACCCUGAGUUUAGCAGGCAGCUCUCACGCUUGUCCGUCCUCAGGAGGGGGAACGCAAGACAGUCUGGGUUGCCAACGAGUGCCAGAGCGGCUCCACAGAGGCAUCAGUCACUGGCACCCGCUGUCUGCACAGGGGCCAAGUGUGUACUCAGACGAGAAAACAAGCUGGACAUGGCCAUCGCCACAGGAUUCGAACACAAGAGGGUGGGGGUGCUACAAGCCUUUGGGUCCUGCUUUGAGAUCCCGCGGUCGCGGGUUCGGUCCCUGCUCAGUGACUCAGCCAGGGGCAUGGUGGAACAGGAGCAAUAUUGAUUCUCUAACACUCUUUAUACCACCCCCUCUUGAGGCCUUCUGAACUCAUGACAGUGUCUCAAGCCUAGAAAUGCUGUCAGGAGUGAGUCUGAGGACCCGCUGGCGGGGGGAAUGGGUUUAUGAUACUUGUUGGGUGAGGCUGGCACCCCAGCACCCACUGGGGCCUGCUCAGCGUCCGAAGCACUCGCUCCCCCAGAUGGAAACAUUGGGCGGAAGGGGAGCCGCUCUGGCGCAGCACGGGAUGACAUUUUGAAAUCCACCCGUCGGGAUUUGACCUUUAAUCCAGAGCAAUGUUGACAUUUCUAGGAUGUCAGAAGAAAUCAAGCCUGCUUGACUAAGUGCAGAGCGGGACAGGGAUUGGAGGGGGUUGAAAUGGCAGCGUGAUGCUACCGGAGAUGGGGUUGGGAAGGGGUGUCGCUCCCUGGAUGCCUGCAUCCACGGGAACUGGGGCUCUCGCCAGCCAGGGGCUGAGUGCUAACCCACACACAGAUGCAGCAACCAGCACCAGUGCUUAUGGCCCAUGAGACCCCUGUGCAGCCUGCAGAGGACCCAGAGCCUGAUCCUAUGCAGUACUGAGCUCCCCCAGCUCCCCCAGGUGUCGGUGGGAGUGGUAUUGAUUUCAUGGGCCUAAAUACCUUUGAGGAUCUGGGCCUCUCAGGAUCAGUCCCUUAUAUACCCCCUGACACUCGGCCAGGCUUUAAUCUCCUCCCAGUCCAUCCCCACACAGAUUCGUUUUGGGGGGGAGGGUUAAUUUGCCUCAUACCCACCCACUAGGCCGAGGUCCUGUUCCCAGUCAAGUCCAAUGGCAAAACAGCCCUUGAUAUCAAGGAGAAAAGUAAUGGGUGCUUUAAUGCCACAUUGGAGGCAGUGUGGCCUAGUGGAGGGAGCCUGGGACUCAGGAGACCUGGCUUCUAAUCCUACCUCUCGCCUGCUGGGUGAUCUUGGGCACAUCACUGCCCCGCUCAGUGCCUCAGUUUCCCUAUAUGCAAAAUGGAGAGAAUGUUCCUGACCCUCUUUGUAAAGCACUUUGAGAUUAUGGAUGAAAAGAGGUAGGCAUUACUAGAUUAACGUGCUUCCCGGAGAGCGCUAAUUACUCAUCUCCCCCCCCCGCCCAUGCUGGUGUAACUCCCAUUUCUGUUUUUUAUUUCAUGGGGUUCAGCCCGUAACCCUUAUGGCUGUAAUUCCAGCUGCUGUUGCUAGUGGUGCUCCCACAGGGGGCAGUACAGAGCCUGGCGGGAGGGCAGUUGCCAUUUCAGCCCCCUAGAGGGAGCGUGCGAAGUUUGUGCUCAUGCCCAGUAGCUGUUUGGAAGCUAGUGUGGAAGGCUCCAUUAAGGGCAGCAUCCCCGCUUGUGCCCACAUCUCCCCUUAAUUAGAAGCUGGGAGCUCUGCCGGGGUCAGGUGCAGCCUAGACCUGCAGGGAGGAGGCAGAGCUGCCAGGGGUGACCCAGACUGAGCUGUGGGGUGGAUCUCAGUGCAGUGCACGGGUUAGUUGGAUGUUAUGGGUCUGCAGCAGGCAGUGCUAUGCGAAGGUGUUUGUACAGUCCUUCGUCCCAAGAAGGAAAAUAAGUUGGUUUUUAUAUUGCAGUGGAUUAGGGACUGGGAAAUUAGCUACUUGCCUGAAAGGCUGAGGCCUUACCCGUGUUAGAAGUCGGUAGGUUUCAGUGGUAGCCGUGUAAGUAAGUGGGGCAGUUGUGUUUGUGGGACUGUAUCUAUUGUGGAAGCACAGAGCAUGACCUUGUGCCCUGACUGGUAGAGCAGCUGUCCAGCCCAGCCCUGCAGGGAGAAGAUCGAGCUGCUGGGGGUAACCCAGACAGAUCUGUGGGGUGGAUCUAGGGUUCCGGGCAGUGCCUCAUUACAAGGGACGUCUCUUGUCUUUUCAUCGCUGUACCACAAGAACGGGAGUUGCUGAGUGCUACCAAAGGCAGCAAGAAAUAUCCCUGGUGAAAGUAAGUGAGUCCUGCUUAGUAGUAUUAUGAAUAGUGGUGAUAAUAAUAAUAAUAAUAUCAGGAGGGGGAGGUGCUAAGAAAACAAUCCCUUGUUUUGAAAUACAAUGUUGGCAAGCCUGGUUGGAUCUCCGUACAGAUUCCUGUAAUUUUACACAGGUCAGUGGGAUCGAGACGGGGAAAACCCCAUAAAGGCGUAAUUGCAGACAGGAGGCCAGAUGUCUUCAGGAGGUGUGCCGCAUCCCUGAACCAGAGACCGUGCGUGAGCCUGACAACUACGCGCAUUGUCCGGUUUCUCCCUUUCUCACUGGAAGUUGCGUCUGUGCCCAGUAGUAUGGAUGCUGAAACAACUGAGUAUGUAGGACAGCUACAUGUUUUAUUUUAAUUGUCACCAUAAUACGCAGGGCGAGCCUAGGUGAAAGAAGAUCUCCAGUUGUCAGAGGUCCCAGCCCCUGCAUUGAUUUGGGAAGGUAGUCUCUGUAUCUGGGGUUCAGGCCCUGUGUUCUGUCCUUCAUGUCAAAGGAAAAACAGCACAUCUCUAGUUAGUGAUGUUAGUUUACCCAGGGGCUGCUGCAGUUACGGGGGUGCAGUGGCUUAUCUGUCGAGUGUUAUUCGUAAGAAGGAAUUAGAAAUUAGUGUCUGUGUGUGUGUGAAUCCGAUUAUAAUUUCCACUGUUAGUAUUUAAAAGGUGUUUUUAGAAAACCCAGCCGUUGUCCCUCUUGCAAGGAUAGGAAUUCAUGAUCUGUGCAAAUACUUUGUCAAAGAGAAGAAUGCUGUGGCACAGAAUUGGCAAGUUAACUGACUUACCUCCCCUCUACCCAGGCUAUACUGGGACUUAGCCUCCCAGAUUCUUGGUGGUGCUUUGCAGGGCCGGGGCUCUGCAGCCACAUCCUCCGGGGAGGGUGGGAUGAUGCUGCUCCAUUAUCCCUGCUCCCUGUUUCCUAUCGCUGGGAUGGAGCAAAUGCCCCAGCACUGGCUGUGCGUCCCAGCCUCAUCUGCGCGCCCCGGGAGAAUUCACACUGGAGUUCAUAGGCUCACCCCAAAGGCUUUCUUCCCAUACCACGAAUACCGGGAUGCCUUGCCAGCCAGAACACUAACCCCUGUGCCUUCCCCUUUCAAUCCCUGCUUCGCUGGAGGAAAACCUCUGGAAUGAAGUCACUCAUGUUGGAAUUAACACAGGGCCUGCCCUUUACUGGGAUCAAUCUCAUUUGCUUUAGGCAGGUAUUACUGGAUAAUCCCAGCCCUGGGGUUUUGGCCGUCCCUAUGGGCCAGGCUGUGCCUCUCUUAAUCACGGUGAGCAGCAUCUGGCUCUGUGAGCAGCCCCAUUGAGUUCAGCAGGAGAACUGGCAGGCUGAGGCGCUGGUCACUCCAAGUAGCCCUGGCCCUGGAUGGGGUAGUGAGGAAAGAACCAACAUCCUUAUUGAUUGAGGCUGAGCCUUGCAAAGGGAGUUAGGCACCCAGUGAAUUUUCGAGGGACGUAAGCAUCCAAUGCCCUUAGGCAGCUUUGUAAUAAUCAGCCUUGAUUCUUAGCAGGUCCUCAGAGGAAAGAUAUCCCUGAGAGAGGAAGGAUAGAAUAUUUCCUCCCCUGAGUCUCUCCAGGGCUGUCACCUGUGCUGUCAUGGUGCCCCUGGUAGAUCGCUCUGUGCAAUGGGUGACGUGGGGCUUUGCUGGCCUUCCCAUUCUGCAGAGCACUUUGUAAGAGAAGGGUCUCCACUGCUUGGCUGCUAAGAUAUUUCCCUCCGCUGGUCCAACACAAAGAGCUCCAGGGGCCACACGUAACCCAUUGGUCACUGCCUCAUCAGAGACCACUUACAAACUGGGGCAGGACAUUGCAGCCCCACCGCGGGGACCUCGGUGACACACAAGAGUUUAGUCUCCUGAGGCCUGAAACGCUUUAGUUUAACCCAAGUCACUAGGGUCAGUGCAGGAGAAACAGAGUGAAAUCGACGGGGUUGUGAUGGGAGGUCGGGCGAGAUGAUUUGGCAGUCCGUUCUGCCCUGAAACUCUCUGGAACUGUGACACACACGCUUGGAAACAAUAACUACGUAAGUGCUGACAGAAAUCUUGACAGCACUUAGGCAGUCAGUGUGCUGCGGCCACUGUUGGUGAUGUUGACCAGUAUUGUCUCAUUGUUUCCUUGUGCUUCCCUGCCUGUAUCCACCUGUUGGCCUUUGCCUUUUACUUAAAUUGUAAACUCUUUGAGACAGGGACUGUCUUUUUGUUCCAUGUUUAUACAGCCCUAGCCCAGUGGGGACCUGGGCUAGGACUGCAGUUCCUGGGUACUACUGCAUUACAAAUAAUGAAUUAUAAUAAUCAAUCAUAAUAAUGGCUGGGUGCUGUUUAGCAGCUGCCAGGUCUCACCCAGAGGAGGCUGCAUCUGAGUGGUGGGCAAAGCAACCCUUAUGCAUGAGUUAUAUAUUAAAAUGACAGCCACGCUCUGCACUUCUCAAACAUCUUUCCUUCGAGGAUCGCACGCUGCCUUACUGUGACAGAAUGCCUUCACACCUGGCACACUGUUUUGUAAUAAUCUUUGUAAUAUGAAUAUGCCUUGUAAGGUAUAAUUUGAAAACCAAUAACUUGCUGAUCAGUAAUGUCAUGGGGAAACUCCGGAGAUUUUUAAAUAGGGUCAUCUAAGCUAUUUUAUUCAGCGCUCUGAAUGGAAAAUGUGUGGGGCUCUCCCACCCCAAACAACCAAUUCACUAAAAAACCAACCUGGAAUAACAACAACAAUGGUCUAGCAUUCAUGGCAACCCUACAGUAAACAAACCAGUGAAGGAACAGCAAUCUAGAUGCAGGACUAGCUGCCACAGAGCUGUAACAGGGCAGUGGGAUUUAUUUUACAGACAGAAUCAGCAUCUCUCUCGCUGAUGAUUUAUAGCCCUGACAGCUCAGGCUUGCUCUGGCUAGAGUGAACCAAACUUAUCUGUGUCCAUGCCCCUCUCUGUAUCAGGAAUUCAGUCUUUAUCUGGACCAGUGUGGUCCAAUGGAUAAGGCACUGGCCUGGGAGUCAGGAGAGCUGGGUUCUAGCCCAGUUGUGUUACUAAAACUGAGUGUGUGUCCUUUAGCAAAUCAAUCUGCCACUCCUGCCUUGUCUCAUUAGACUAGAAACUCUUCAGGGCAGGGACUGGGACUGGCUGUUCCCACUGUCACGCACAGCACCUUACACGAGUAAGUUAGCGUCUCUAGGCACUGAUGAAAUACUGACAGUGGCAGGAGCCCCCCAGACAGCUGCUAGGCGCUCUGCUGUCGUGAAUGGGGCUGAAUAGCCUCGAUUCCUCAUUUUAACCCGGCGCCUUAAACUUCCCGCAAUGCGUGCCGUGUGGUUGAACUGGCUCAGCCUUUGAUUUACUUCUGCAGCAGCUUCCCCAGACAGCUGCCAGGGUUGCCUUUCAGGCGUCCUCAGUCUUUUCUAAUCAGCCUCACUUGGUUGGCACAUCCGAGGCUUUGCUUGGGAAUACAAUUCAAUUAAGGCUUUCACGCUUUUGAAAUGGAAAUUCCUCCACGAGCUGACGGGCCUUCCUGCCAGUGGGCUCUGCUGUACCUGACAGCAGCCUCCUGGGAGGUGGGGGGAAUAAAGGAAACCCUGUUGGUUUCUUGGGAAGGGGUUGGCCUGUCUCCUUGCAGCUUGACUUUCUGCUCUCCCUUGCCACAGAGCUCCGGUCAUCAGCUCCUGAACAAUGACACAAGGUCUCCGGUGCAUCUGGGAGGUGUCAGAGCAGGGAUCUGAUCUCUGCUUUCUAAGGGAACUCAUGUCACAGCAGCCUCCUUCCCUCUGUCUCUCUGUACAUACCGCAAAGGAGGAGUAAGCAGAAAGGGUCGGACAUCAAGAGCAGAUGGAUGGCGCUAGCCAAGUUCUCUCCCGCCCCCACCUCCCUGCUGUAUAUUUCAGUCCUUCCCCCAUGUGCCUGAUCUCUUUUCAACCACAUUUAUGGCAUUGGCUUUGAUGGUCUCGCUCAGCAACUUAACCCCUUGUUUACUUCCUUCUGGUGCUAUGGGUCGGCUUCAAAUGCCCCACACAACCUUUCCUCCCAGGGUACAGCUCUUUGAUAGCUCGGAAAUCAUCCAGGGUUGUUUUUAUGCCCAAACAUCCUGCCGCUGGAAAGGGGAGCCAAAGAACUCAGCAUCUCCUAGAGAAAGGCGGAGGAGGCGGUGCGGUUGGUGAUUUGUAUUCGCUCCUCCUGUGGCUGCAUCUAACGCUAAACUGAGCCUUUUCUACUGCGGCCAGGCACCAGGCUGAGGGUUAAAAGGUUUUCUCCCCCCAAACCCUUGAGCUGCCUGGAGGGGGCCGCAGCAUUGGUUUGCUUUCCUGCAAACAAAAGGAGUUAGAGGGAGGGAAAUGAAUACUUGGGCUGCUCAUUCCGAAGAGUUAUUUUUGGCUAGUUGAUCUUCACAGGUAAGGCACAUCAGGUUAGCUUCAGCUGCUCUGUAGCCGCCCCACUGAGCUGACAGUGCCCAGACUACAGCCCCCUGGGCCUGCAUGGCACCCCAUUGACUUCAGAGCUCAUGGCAAGAUCAGGCCCCGGAGUCUUCUGUGUCAUCCUCUGCCUACCUGGAGCCCCAGUUCGGAUCUGAUCUGAAGCCCACUGGGAGUCUCUGUGUUGACUCAGGGAGUGGUGUCCUGCUUCAGUGCACUUCCCAUGUGGUACUUCAAUAUAAUUGCACCUAGCUCUUACACAAGGCUUUUCAUCCAUAGAGCCCAAAGAAGCACUUUACAAAGCAGGUCAGGAUCAUGAUCCUGGGGGAACCGAGGAACCAGACUGGGGAAACUGAGGCACCAGGAGGUGAAGUGACUUUCCCAAGGUCGCCCAGUAGCAGAGCUGGCACUAGCACCCAGGUGUCCUGAGUUCUAGGCCAGUGCUCUGUCUUGUAGGCUACUCUGUCUAGUCUUGAAACUCCAGUGCCCUGGUCAAAGUCAUUUUAGAAUAACCAUGGUCCGUUUACCUGUUAGAGAAUUAUAGAAUUGUGGGGCUGGAAGGGACCUUGAGAGGUCAUCUACCCCAUGCCCCCAUGCUGAGCCAGGUUUAAGUAACCCCGGACCAGUGUUUCUCAACAACCAGUUCAUGAACUGGCACCGAUCCCUGAGAUUUUUUUCUGACACAGUUUAGGAAGGCAGCAAGCUGGUCCCUGGCAUCAAAAAGGGUGAGAAACACUGACCAAGACCAUCCCUGACAGGUAUUUGUCUAACCUCGUCUUUAAAACCACCAGCCACAAAGAUUCCACAUCCCCCUCGGUAACCCGUCCCCGUGCUGAGCAAUCUUUAGAGUUAGAAAGUUUUUCCUAAUACCCAGCUUCAAUCUCCCUGCUUGCAAAGUAAGCUGCUUCCUUCUUGUCCUGCUCUUGGUGGACAUGGGGAACAAUUGAUCGCCGUUCUAACCCUCACCUCUUCUCAUUGACACAGAAGGAAUCGCAACCACGAGUUGACUCAGCACUUUUGCUGCUGUUCUCUUCCUUGCUGAAUUUCACUCCAUUUGAGCCAGGCAGACGGUUAAUGGCUUUGCAGCCAGGUCACCAUUUGCAGCCCCGGGCCUGGCCUGAUUUCAUGCCGGGAAUUUAGCAUCUCAAGGAAGGGAGCUGUUCACUUUAGCACAGUUGAUUUCCCCCAUCAAGGGUGUCCAGUGCACAGAAGGAACAGAGUCAGGAUUCUACCCACCGAGCUAGUGCUUCCCCCCUCCCCCAUCCUUAAACCAAUAAGCACAAAAGGGGAAACUUCUCAAGUGUGUUUGACAACUUUAAAGUCCUUGUCAAUUCAGGGCAUUUGCCUCCAUUCCGGGCAGCUGCACCCGUGUGAACCCCUAGUGCAGAGAGGCAAAGCUCUUUGCACCGAUGCUCACUUUUGCUUGAAACUUGCCACCGCAAGGUGUCUCCUUGGCGGUCCCUCGGCCUCUCCUGUUCUUUGCCUGGGGCACAUGCAGUUGUCUCCCGAGGACUGAAAUGCUUUAGUUGAACUCAAGUUAUUCGGGCUCAGUGCAGAGGGAUUUGGGUGCAAUGGAACAGCCUUUGCUAUGCAAGAGGUCAGCUCUAUGCAUCUAUGAAACGGGGAUCAAGUCCCCCUGGUGCAAACGGCAGCUUUGUCUGUCUGUGUGAGGGGCUGGCCCCAAUGCAGGUGCCACCAGUGGCUGGAAUCGGGGCAGAUCCCCGUUGCAGCUGAGGCCUCGAUAUCAUCCUCAGCAUGUCCUUCUUGAACAUCACCAGUAAGAAAGGCUCCAUGGCACCAAUUCUACCUUCAAUGCCUCCCAUCGAGACCACCUGUCUGGCGCUGCCUCUGAUGGAUUUCCGCUGCUAUACCCGCCCGGGGGUAAGCAAGUGAUUCCAGUGCAGAUUCACAAGCGGGAAUAGACUCCAGCUUGCUCUUGCCUGAGCUCUGCCGGGCGAAGGAGCGUAAAAGGCAGGAAAGAUCUUAUUUAUCACUGAGGCCAGCGGGUAGGAGUGACCCCCACUGGGAACAGAUCUGUUGGGUAGCAUGGGGCCGUUUCUACACCGUCGCUUUUCAAAACAGAACUGCCCUGAAAGCGACAGAGGCAAAUGCGUUAAGCAACGCAUCUGCUCUGCAUCCCCUUGCAGCUCGUGGUCGUAGGUCAAGAGUGAGGUGCAAGAAGCAGCCGGAGUGCAGCAGAGAAGGUUGGAGCCGCUAACGGGGGCGUUCAGAGAGGAUGCAGCGAGGUGGGACUAGACCCAGCUGUAGGAUGGAAAGCAACGAGGGGGUAACGCGGCCCAGGAGAAGAGCAGAGGGUAUCGACAGCAGUGCAAUAACAGAGGCGGUUGGGCCCCUGCAGCCAGGACAUGGCCAGAUAGGGCAGAAGGGAAUGCAGCCUAGCCACGGCCAGAUGUGACCAAACAGGCCAGAAAUUGGCGAAGACGCAUGCUGGGGACUGCGGAAAAAUCCCCAUCUCUGAGAACCGUCUGCUCUCCCGAUAUCUGCGGCGGUAUUAAUUAGAUAAUGCGAGAGCAAAGCAGGCCAUUAGCAAUCAAUUACAACAAAGCACUGGCAAUAAAUGCAGAUAAUUAGGCUCCCAAAAAGUAAUUACGUUUGUUCCACUCCAGUGAACUUUUUAUUUUAAUAGUAAUUAACUCCGGCUGGGGGCAGGGAGGGGAGGUUUUCAUGACUUGCUGCGACCAGCCCAGUCUGCAUGAAAAAUGGAGGGUGUCUUCUUCUAGCUAUGGACUUUCCCUGUUCUCCUUGAAACUUUUAUAUGCUGGAGGCCGCUCCAAACAGAUCUUUUUUGGGUCACAUUUUCCAGAUAGGCGUCACCUAGGACGUGGAACCCGAGGAUUUACCACAGAUCAUCAACAUGCUCUUUUGCCCGGUCAAACCAUCCCUGAAGUUUCCUAAAGCCUCGUGGGAUAAUUUACUUGGAGACAUGGGCGGCAGCUUUCGUUGCCACUGAACGUGGCCAAAUGAGGCAUCUCAAGCCGCAGAGGGUGCUGCUAAUGAGAAUGCCAUCAGCUGAUUUAUCCCUUUGACUAGAGGAACUUCUAUGACCCUGUCGCAUGAGUCCACAGAGCAGCUGUCUGUGCCCCUGGACCUGUUCUCCAAGAGGAAAUGUUUAUAAACUACAUUAAUAUUUCAGGCUCGCCUGAGGAGCCAGUUGGCCUUUUGUUCACUCGUGCAUUACUCAAACCACAAUCAGCCCUAUGACUGAGUGACAGCAACUUCUCUGUCUCGGUUUAAAAGAAACUCCACAUCAAAGGGUAUCCAUCCAAGCCAAGGAAGGCCUUCGUAUAUAUUUGAAAACACAAUAACAUAGGAAUUAUGAAACAUACAGGCUUCAAAGCAGCAACAUCCCUUCCCCUGCCUACGAAACAUCAUGUGACCAAUACAGCUUAACCGUCCCACCAAGAGAGUUGAGUGAAUUUGGUAUUGAUGAAACGUGGUGGAUUGACAGCCUUGGGCCAGUUCUGCACUAGAGAUCUGAGCCAUUGGUAAUCUGACUGGUACCAUUGCAUUUAGGGUAAAUUGGCUGAAAUUGGCAACAAGGGGCCAGUCGCCGUGAUGGGUGUGGCUGGUAAAGGUGGAUUGCAAAGUCUCAUUACAAUUGAAAAUGAUUAGAGUAAACUUCAGAGGAUGCACACAGCCACCUCUGAUGUAAGACCUUUUUCAACUGUACAUUCAUAAUAAGUCUCCCUUAACUCAUGUGUUCAGUUUCUGUUACUUGAAAACGUGGUGUUAAAGUAUAAAUAUUAUAGCCAGUUACUUCAUUCUAUCAUUCAUUUAUUGUGUGUUGUGUGAUGUUAAGUUUACCUAACAUACCAUGUAAUAUAUAAUCAUUGUAUGUUGAAUAGACUGAAGUGGUAGGAUUAUAGACGUAUAAGAUUGAUCAGUAAUUAGAAGGGAUAAAUAUGUAUUAGGUAUCUAAGUAAAUAGGGCUGAAAUGUGAGGCCUACAGGCUGAGGCCUGUAUGAUUUUAGCUUAGCCAUACUAGGCCUUGGAAUUAAGAAAUGCUUGACAUAAGUAAGUGACCAAAGAAUAACCCGAUGCCAUAAGAUUACAGGGGAAAAAUGUACCAAUGGGUGAUAUUGCGAAAAAUUAGCCGUAAGAUUCAUUUUAGAUCACAAAAUGCCCGAGAGGUACCUUUUUUCUAACACAUGCUUUACCCGCAGGAUGCAGGUUGUGCGUCAGUACUAACGAGAAUAAAAGGAACUACACACAACCUAUGAGAAAUGCGGUACCCCAAUAUUCUUGGAGACACAAUAUAAAUGAGGAAAAAGAGGGUUGACACUUUCACGCACAGGCAUAGUCAGAAUCACAUUGAAAAAGAGGGUGCCCAGAUUGGGAAAAUUGAGUUCCCUAUGGGAAAAUUCCAGCAGGAACCAUCCCUUUCCUGAUGAUCAAUUAAUGAGAGAUCCAUCAGACCGUAAGACUGUCUAGGAGGAUGUGAGUAUGACUGUAGCUAUAAUUUGUGCGUGGAUAUGUGUAGGAUUUAUCUAUACUUGGAUAGUCAUAACUUUGCAUGUAACUUUAAUAAAAUUUAGAAAGCCUAUUAGACAUUGUUCUUGUGACUGUCUGUGUUGCUUUCCUUGUUCCUAGAGGCUCUAGAUCUGAAACAAGUGGCAGAGGUAACUUUCAUUCUGUUGAGACUGAGACCGUAGCCAGUGUAAAACGACAUUAUUAAAUCCACUUUAACUAAAAUAAAAGGUCACAAUAUCCCUGCAUUCUGGUCUGAAACGAUGGGAAUCAAGCAGCAUGGAUACAAUGCAUCAGAAGAGAAGAAAGCAUGCCAUAUAAAGAGGUGUGACCAAAGCAUUUCUGGAUCUCGCAUCUAUGGAAUGCAGGUAGGAAGGACUUUUGGUCUCUUGACCCCUUCAGUAUUUCUGUUCUUCAAAACAAGCACAAGGAAUUAUCACGUAGAGUUUACUAAGGGCCACGUUCUUAGCUGGUAUAAACUGGGGCAGCUUCAUUCUUCACCUCAAUCGAGCAUCACCAUUUUACACCAACUAAGAAUCUGGCCCUAGAAACAUUGCUCUGAUUCUCCACCCACACUGUUCACUGUU